UUUCUACACCUAUCUGGAGGAGCUUGCUAUCUAACCGAUAACCCACGUAAAACCUCACCAACUUUUGAUUCCAGCCUGUAUACCAUCGUCGUCAGUCUACCUUUCAAAAGUAGUAUACACAAUGACCUUUUUUCUUAACGCCAGAUCAAGGUGCAGCUUAUAAGUUGGGGAUAAGUGAGCUACUAUAAUUUAACAAAAAAUAAAAAUAUGAAAAAAUGAAUGAAACUUCAUUUAGAAACAGAAUUCAGUAGUAACGGCUAAACAAAUAGAAAAUAACCGUGAAUACUCAGCUCUAGAAUACGC
Molecule: ribosomal RNA, 303 nt
Filed under: Freyastera benthophila
Lineage: Eukaryota; Metazoa; Echinodermata; Asteroidea; Brisingida; Brisingidae
Description: partial 12S ribosomal RNA
Source: RNAcentral